Molecule: long non-coding RNA, 3431 nt
Organism: Monodelphis domestica (gray short-tailed opossum)
Lineage: Eukaryota; Metazoa; Chordata; Mammalia; Didelphimorphia; Didelphidae
Source: RefSeq, a predicted model, not a curated record
UUAUAGCAAUAUAAUAUUAAUGCAUACCCAAAAGAUUUAGACUAUAGAAACCUGCCAUUUAUUGAUAAAUGUUAUGGGACUAUAAUGAAUCAUUGUCUGAUUCCAGGAGAAUGGAAUAAAAGAGCCAUUAUACAAUGCCUAGAAGCACAGGGUCAAGGAGACCAAGCAAUGCCAAUGGGAUUGAUGAGAAUCUGCAUAGUGCCUAGGAGCACAAGGUCAAAAAGGACCAAACCAAUCCAGGACUCCUUGUACCACAUUGCUUGUGAAAUACUCUCAGAUGAGUACCGAAGUUUGGCUACCUUCCUGACUCCCGCAUCCCUGAGAGUGAAGACUCAUACAUUCCAUAAUUCAACCAUGUAUCCUGAGCUGAUCUGGGAGUUGGUCAACACCCUUUUCAUGGGAGAUUGUAUUUUCAUAAAAAUCCAAUUUAAAAUUUUGUUUGAGAAAAAAAUUUCAGGAAAAGAAGCUUGCUAAUUCCUUACACCCAGAGAAUGAACUGUUUGCAGAAAGAUGCCUAAAAAAACCUACACUGCAUCAAGAAGAUCCAGAAUUAACUUUGGGGUAUGGUUGAUUAAACUGAAGGGGGUUAAACAUUUGUUUUGAUUUACUUUCUCAUUCUUCUAUAUCCCUCUUAUCCUUAACUAAUGUAGUGUCCUCUUUUGAAGUUGCAAUUUUGUAUGCACCUGUAGUUAGAAGAUUUUUAGAAGUAAAAAACGAUUAUGUUAAAUGAUCAAUUGGAGAGACUAGUCUCUCCAAAGAUGGGGGGGGGGGGGGACUGUGAAGAUGGGAUUAACUCUCCCCUAUUUAUUCUUUAGAUUUUAGCCACCAGAAAUGUAUACAUUCCCCCACUUAAUCCUUAAGUGUGUGUGUGUAUUUAAGAUCUAUGACCCAUGUGUGCUAGGGAGUGAUAAAUAAAAAACAACUGACUGUCCCUUGGGCAGUCUGAAGCAAAGUUAAAGCCACCAUUGGUUCACGUAAAAAGUGGAAGGAAGUCACAGGAAGUAAUGCAAAGAAUCGUCUUUAAAUAAUGCUGGUAACUUACUGUGAGUUCUGCUUUGAACUUGGCCUUGGAUGAGCUCAGACUUGAGACCUCAGACUGCUUCCCUUUGGAAUGACUCAUUGAUGAGUGAAAAAGGUUGAAUCCUUUCCUUGGCAUUUCGGGAGGCACUAGCCUCAGGAGAGGCCCCUUGUCUUGGAGGAGGUCUCCUGGUUAGAAGCCUUGUUUAAUUAACCUCUGUGCCUCCCUUUGCUGGGGCCUCUGAAGCCCUGCCUGGUUCAGACCAGGCUAUGGUAGUUCUCUCGUUCUCUCUCUUCACUCUCUCUCUCUUCUCUCUCUCACUCUCUCUCUCUCUGUCUCUGUCUCUCUCUCUCUCUCUCUCUCUCUCAUUUUCUUUACUUUCAGUCUCUCUAUUUGUAAAUAAACUACCAUAAAAGUCAUUCUGACUUGAGUAAUUCAUUUAGAAUUAAGUAAUUAAUUCCUGUCAACCCUACUCUUAAAUAUUCAGUCCAACAAUAAUUUUACCCCUUACAGUCCUCUAAUUAACAUUCCUCAGUUUUCUCGGCAUAACAAUCAAAUUAAAAAGGAAAUAAACUUUUUGCAUUUAUAGACAUAUGUUUGUGUGUAUGUGCAUAUAUACUUUAUUUUUAGUGAAUUCACAUUGGCUUCUGAUGACCAAGACUUUCCAUUAUUAAGUAGAUGUAAGCCAUCUGUAUGGUUAGUAGCCAGUUUUGUUUUAGAUUCAAGUCAAACAUACAUAGUGUGUAGUCUAUAUUUUCGGUAUAAAAUUGAUUCAUAAAAGGAAAGCAUUUGAAAGAGAUAAAACAAAACAACUUUGUAUCUAUGUUUCCAAUUAUCUUUGGUUAUCUUUGGUUUCCGAUGCAUAUAUAGAUAUAUUAGAAUAUUUGUGGAUAUGUAUACAUAUAUAGAACCCCAAACAUAGAUACAAGUUUGUAUGUAAUACAACAGAUACAAAAUACAUAUGUAUCUAAACACACACACAUAAAUAUAUCCAGAUAUUAUGUAACUUUGUAUAUAUUAAGAUGUUAGAGAUAUGUGUAUAUAUGCUUAUAUAUACAUAUGCAUAUGUAUGAAUUCAUAUAUAUAAUCCAAAAGCCAAAUUUCUCAAAAAAAUAAUGGUCAAAGAAAGAAUAGUUCUCAAAAACUAAAAAGAACCAUAAGAAAACUCCUCUAAAUUGUUAAUAUAAGAGAUAUUCAAAUAAAAACAACCCUGAAGUCUUACUUUACACCCUGCCAUUUGUCAAAGAUGGAAAGAUAUGGCAAUAUUUAAAGUGGAAAGGAUUGUGGGACCAUAGGCACUCUGGUACAUUGUUGAUGGAACUGUGAAUUAGUGAAUCAAUACUGCCAUUUGGGAAAAUACAUGAUUAAAAUCCUCAUGUUCUUUGACACUGAGAUUCUACUAACAAGGAUUCUCUUUGCUCUGCUAAUGGUAUCCUACCAAAAGAUUUCUCCUCUUGAAUUACAAUGUCUUAAUCUUUCAUUAAGGAAUAAUAAUCAUCUACUUAUUAGGAGACAUCUCUUCAGCUUAAUUCUUUCAGUCUAGUCAAACAGGAAUGACUUCCUGUUUUGUAUCAAGUAACAUACAUGAAAACAUAUUUUGAAUGAUUUUUUUGUGUGUGGGUGUAUGUGGUAAAGAACUUUGGGCUCAUCAAAAAUAUUCACUAUCUGUAAGGAACAAUCAUGUCCAUUUGGCUUUCUAACUGCUUCCAGGCUGAUCAUGUACCACUACCUGAUAGCCUACAUGUUGCAAUAUCACUGCCCUCCCCUAUGUUCUGUUCACACAUUUCUAUGUAAAUCAUCUCCCAAAGGGUCCCUUGCCAUAAUUGCUUCCUGUUUGCCCUAUAUAUGAUCCUAAGUAAGUAUCCUUUUCCCAUUGAUGUUUUACAUAUUUAUGAGAGAAUGAACUGAAAAUUUCAAGGGGAAAUUUUAUUUUCAUUGUUAUUUAAAAUACUUUGAUGGGAAACUGAACUAAAUUCUAUAAAGACUGAUAAAUGUAAAACUAAUACAUUAGAACUCUUGAGCCAUGAUUUAGAUAGGAGUAUGACAAAAAAGCUAUAGAGAACUUAAUGUAGUAGCAGAAGUUAAUGGGAGAAGGUAAAAAGGAGAUCUUAUAGGCAAUAUAUAAAUAUGUAUAUAUAUUAUCAUAGGAAAUCUUUAAGAUGUACAAAUUUCCAUAUACAUUUAUUUCAUUGUUUAUAUGUGUAAAUUAAAAAUUAAUAUCCAAAAUAAUCCAAGUAUUAUAUUCAUAAAAUUUGUUAAUAAUAACUUGAAGUAAAAAGCCUGAGUAAAACCAGCCUUCUUGGCUGCGCACGCGGGAAAAGAAGAGACUGAGAGGGAGGAGCCACAAAAUUAUAUACACACAUGAAAGCAGUGUAAACAUGAGGAUAAAGGGAAAGGGAUGCUGGGAGAUGAA